GUCUACGGCCAUGCCACCCUGAACAAGCCCGAUCCUGUCUGAUCUCGGAAGCUAAGCAAGGUCGGACCUGGUUAGUACUUAGAUGGGAGACCACCUAGGAAGACCAGGUGCUAUAGGUA
Molecule: ribosomal RNA, 119 nt
Filed under: Pteropus alecto (black flying fox)
Lineage: Eukaryota; Metazoa; Chordata; Mammalia; Chiroptera; Pteropodidae
Source: RNAcentral